CUGAACGCCUCUAAGUCAGAAUCCGUGCUAGAAACGAUGAUGUUGGUGUCGCACAUUAGACUUGUGUUUAAAUAGAGCUUUGCUCGUGAACCAAAUAUGGUGGGCUGGGUUGUCUUUGUGGAAACGCUUGGGCGACUUGUCUACGAAUUGUAAUCAUAAUAUGGGCGGCGGUGAAUCCUUUGCAGACGACUUGAAUGGGAACGGGGUACUGUAAGUGGUAGAGUAGCCUUGUUGCUACGAUCCACUGAGGUUAAGCCCUUGUUCUAAAGAUUUGUUC
Molecule: ribosomal RNA, 277 nt
Filed under: Armillaria sp. CMW 10582
Lineage: Eukaryota; Fungi; Basidiomycota; Agaricomycetes; Agaricales; Physalacriaceae
Description: partial large subunit ribosomal RNA
Rfam family: Eukaryotic large subunit ribosomal RNA
Source: RNAcentral